RNAcentral lists this ribosomal RNA (819 nucleotides) under Triticum aestivum (bread wheat). RNAcentral describes it as "partial small subunit ribosomal RNA". Lineage: Eukaryota; Viridiplantae; Streptophyta; Magnoliopsida; Poales; Poaceae. The record is from RNAcentral.
AUGAAACGGCCUUCAUUUAAUCUUUUUCUCUCAAUGGUCACAUGCACACCAGACACAAAUGCACUGGCCUUCAUGAUUCCAAGACCUGGAAUCAUACCAGCCGAUGGGAAUUACCGAUGCAAGUCGAAGAAGGAUUGGCCGGUGCUGCCGGCUGGCGUCAAGUUCGAUCCCACGGAUCAGGAGCUGAUCGAGCACCUUGAGGCCAAAGUGAGUGCUGGCAGCGCGAGAUCUCACCCUCUCAUCGAUUUAUUCAUACCAACCAUUGACAGCGAGCACGGCAUAUGCUACACCCAACCUGAGAAACUUCCAGGUAUCACACUGAGUGGCCUAAGGAAGCACUUCUUCCAGCGCAAUUCCAGGGCGUUCAAAAGGGGCACGUGGACGCGUCGCAAGAUACAGUCGGAAUAUGGCAUGCACGCGAUGUGGCACAAGACCGGCAAUACCUUACCAGUGAUGCUCAACGGCCGACAGACGGGCAACAAAAAGGUUCUGGUGCUGCACACCAACAAGAAUUUCGACCAGCAGAGGACCAACUGGGUGAUGCACCAGUACCACCUCAGGGACCUAGAGCAAGAGAAGGAGUGUGAGCUGGUCCUCUGCAAGAUUUUGUACCAGACGAACACUAGGGCCAGGAGUAAAAAGAUUAUAAGUCGAGCAAGUUUCAACUGGGCUGUAGACUGCCCAGGCUUGGUUUUGUCUUUAAUAGGCCCAGCCCAUGACGACAACGGGGCACAAAGAUCCAGCAGGUAUCUAUUGGCCUCUGGCUCCAGCAUUAGUUAUAUUUUGUCUUACAACAUCCGCAGGCAGUUUUUUUACUGA